RNAcentral lists this ribosomal RNA (421 nucleotides) under Fusobacteriota bacterium. RNAcentral's name for it is "Fusobacteria bacterium partial 16S ribosomal RNA". It matches the Rfam family "Bacterial small subunit ribosomal RNA", at positions 355 to 776 of the family's 1533-position model. Lineage: Bacteria; Fusobacteriati; Fusobacteriota. The record is from RNAcentral.
UGGGGAAUAUUGCACAAUGGGGGGAACCUUGAUGCAGCGACGCCGCGUGAGGGAUGGAGGCCUUCGGGUUGUGAACCUCUUUCGCUCGUGUGCAAGCCGCUAUUUGGGUAGUGGUGAGUGUAGCGGGUAAAGAAGCGCCGGCUAACUACGUGCCAGCAGCCGCGGUAAUACGUAGGGCGCGAGCGUUGUCCGGAUUUAUUGGGCGUAAAGGGCUUGUAGGCGGUUUGUCGCGCCUGUCGUGUAAUCCUCUGGCUUAACUGGGGGUGUGCGGUGGGUACGGGCAGGCUUGAGUGCGGUAGGGGAGAUUGGAAUUCCUGGUGUAGCGGUGGAAUGCGCAGAUAUCAGGAGGAACACCGGUGGCGAAGGCGGGUCUCUGGGCCGUUACUGACGCUGAGGAGCGAAAGCGUGGGGAGCGAACAGG